CAUUGUGACAUUGAUUGGUGAUCAUCCUUCCUACUGUGAACUCAAAUCAGGCAUCCACACAUUGGGGCUGUCCACACCUCAGGACUGUCUUCAGUGGUUUGCAUUGCUGGGAUUGCUGCUGAUUGAAGGAACUAAGCAUUGUUUUCAGAGUGGUGGGUCCCAUCGGGGCCCUCUGAUUUUCCUGGGCAGCUCCAUCUAGGAGUAGGAAAUCAGGCACUUAAUAUCAAUGCAGGAAACAGACACACAACUUUUACCCACAUCUGUUGUUCUGCAUCUCUCCUUCCACUUGAAAGAUUGUAAGCAGGUGAUUGUCAGACCAACAAUAAAUGUCACUCAGAGAGCAUGCAUCCAUAUGGCAAGUAGUGAGACCAUUUGAUGUACAACAGAUGGCUGUAUAUGAGCAUUUAAGACACUUGAGAGAAUAUAGAACAUCAGGGAGACUAUUGUGAUGGUUAUCAGGAGGAUAAUACUAAGAGAGUGAAGUGUAUUCCUUAACAGAGGCCACCAUGAACCAAAACAAUUAUAAUAAAAUGAAUCAAAAAAAUGAGCCAGAAGAGGAAUCUACUUGUU
Gorilla gorilla gorilla (western lowland gorilla) is the source of this 570-nucleotide long non-coding RNA. RefSeq lists it as uncharacterized. The record is from RefSeq and is a predicted model, not a curated record. Lineage: Eukaryota; Metazoa; Chordata; Mammalia; Primates; Hominidae. The transcript has 3 exons.